RNAcentral lists this transfer RNA (72 nucleotides) under Fukomys damarensis (Damara mole-rat). It matches the Rfam family "tRNA". Rfam says of the family: Transfer RNA (tRNA) molecules are approximately 80 nucleotides in length. Their secondary structure includes four short double-helical elements and three loops (D, anti-codon, and T loops). Lineage: Eukaryota; Metazoa; Chordata; Mammalia; Rodentia; Bathyergidae. The record is from Rfam by way of RNAcentral.
GGGAGUAAAGCUCCGUGGUAGAGCACCUUCCUAGAAUGUAGAAAGCCCUGGGUUCAGUUCCUAGUACUGGCA